AUGCCCAGGAAGGAGGCGGCGGCAGCGGCCUGGGAGGAGCCGAGCUCGGGCAACGGUACGGCCCGCGCCGGGCCCAGAAAACGCGGCGGCCUGGCGGGCAGGAAGCGCGAGCGACCGGAGCGCUGCAGUAGCAGCAGCAGCGGCGGCGGCGACGAGGACGGUCUGGAGCUCGACGGGGCCCCCGGAGGGGGCAAGUGCGCGGCACGGCCGGCGGCGGCGGGCAAGGCUGGCGGCGCGGCUGUGGUCGUCACUGAGCCCGAACACACCAAGGAGCGCGUCAAACUUGAAGGGUCGAAGUGCAAAGGGCAGCUUUUGAUUUUGGGGGCAACCAACUGGGACUUGAUUGGUCAGAAAGAAGUGCCUAAACAGCAAGCCGCUUACCGCAAUCUUGGGCAGAAUCUGUGGGGGCCCCACAGGUAUGGGUGCCUGGCGGGAGUCCGGGUGCGGACGGUGGUCUCGGGCUCGUGUGCUGCGCACAGCCUCCUCAUCACCACAGAAGGGAAGCUGUGGAGCUGGGGUCGAAAUGAGAAGGGGCAGCUGGGACAUGGUGACACCAAGAGAGUGGAAGCCCCCAGACUCAUUGAGGGUCUCAGCCAUGAAGUGAUCGUGUUGGCAGCAUGUGGGCGGAACCACACCCUGGCCUUGACUGAAACCGGCUCCGUGUUUGCGUUUGGGUAGAACAAGAUGGGGCAACUGGGCCUCGGCAACCAGACAGAUGCCGUCCCCAGCCCGGCUCAGAUAGUGUACAGCGGCCAGCCAAUUACCAAAAUGGCCUGUGGGGCUGAAUUCAGUAUGAUAAUGGACUGCAAAGGAAACCUCUAUUCCUUUGGGUGCCCUGAAUAUGGUCAGCUGGGACACAACUCGAUGGGAAGUUCAUUGCCUGGGCGCAGCGGAUAGAGUACGACUGUGAGCUGGUACCCCGGAGAGUGGCCAUCUUCAUUGAGAAGACGAAAGAUGGGCAGAUUCUGCCCGUACCAAACGUGGUUGUUCGAGACAUGGCCUGUGGCGCUAACCACACACUGGUCCUGGACUCCCAGAAGCGAGUCUUCUCUUGGGGCUUUAGUGGCUAUGGCCGGCUCGGCCACGCGGAGCAGAAGGAUGAGAUGGUCCCUCGCCUGGUGAAGCUGUUUGAUUUCCCUGAUCGUGGGGCGUCCCAGAUCUACGCUGGUUUCACCUGCUCCUUUGCUGUCAGUGAAGUGGGUGGUCAUGUUUUUCUGGGGGGCUACCAAUACUUCCUGUGAGUCUACUAUGUAUCCGAAAGUGGUACAGGACCUCUGUGGCUGGAGAAUCCGGAGCCUGGCUUGCGGGAAGAGCAGCAUCAUCGUGGCCGCAGACGAGAGCACCAUCAGCUGGGGCCCAUCGCCGACCUUCGGGGAACUGGGCUACGGGGACCACAAGCCCAAAUCUUCCACUGCAGCCCAAGAGGUGAAGACUCUGGAUGGCAUCUUCUCAGAGCAGGUCGCCAUGGGCUACUCACACUCCUUGGUGAUAGCAAGAGAUGAAAGCGAGACUGAGAAAGAGAAGAUCAAGAAACUGCCAGAGUACAACCCCUGAACCCUCUGA
Molecule: RNA transcript, 1563 nt
Organism: Otolemur garnettii (small-eared galago)
Lineage: Eukaryota; Metazoa; Chordata; Mammalia; Primates; Galagidae
Gene name: protein RCC2 pseudogene
Exons: 1
Source: RefSeq, a predicted model, not a curated record